GGCGACGUAGCCAAGUGGUAAGGCAGGGGUCUGCAAAACCCUCACCGCGGGUUCGAUUCCCGCCGUCGCCU
Molecule: transfer RNA, 71 nt
Filed under: Chloroflexota bacterium
Lineage: Bacteria; Bacillati; Chloroflexota
Also listed under: 2 other names
Description: Chloroflexi bacterium (anaerobic digester metagenome) tRNA-Cys
Rfam family: tRNA
About the family: Transfer RNA (tRNA) molecules are approximately 80 nucleotides in length. Their secondary structure includes four short double-helical elements and three loops (D, anti-codon, and T loops).
Source: RNAcentral